GACGAACGCUGGCGGCGUGCUUAACACAUGCAAGUCGAACGGUGAUGCUCCAGCUUGCUGGCGUGGAUCAGUGGCGAACGGGUGAGUAACACGUGAGCAACCUGCCCCAGACUCUGGAAUAAGCGCUGGAAACGGCGUCUAAUACUGGAUACGAAACUGGCCCGCAUGGGCAUGGUUUGGAAAGUUUUUCGGUUUGGGAUGGGCUCGCGGCCUAUCAGCUUGUUGGUGAGGUAAUGGUUCACCAAGGCGACGACGGGUAGCCGGCCUGAGAGGGCGACCGGCCACACUGGGACUGAGACACGGCCCAGACUCCUACGGGAGGCAGCAGUGGGGAAUAUUGCACAAUGGGCGAAAGCCUGAUGCAGCGACGCCGCGUGAGGGAUGACGGCCUUCGGGUUGUAAACCUCUUUCAGCAGGGAAGAAGCGAAAGUGACGGUACCUGCAGAAGAAGCACCGGCUAACUACGUG
This 468-nucleotide ribosomal RNA is filed under the name uncultured bacterium. Its description in RNAcentral is "partial 16S ribosomal RNA". It matches the Rfam family "Bacterial small subunit ribosomal RNA", at positions 28 to 507 of the family's 1533-position model. The record is from RNAcentral.